GUAGUUCAGUUGGUUAGAAUACCGGCCUGUCACGCCGGGGGUCGCGGGUUCGAGUCCCGUCCACUCC
Molecule: transfer RNA, 67 nt
Filed under: Vibrio splendidus
Lineage: Bacteria; Pseudomonadati; Pseudomonadota; Gammaproteobacteria; Vibrionales; Vibrionaceae
Also listed under: 2 other names
Rfam family: tRNA
About the family: Transfer RNA (tRNA) molecules are approximately 80 nucleotides in length.
Source: RNAcentral